UUUCUCAGGAGAAAACUCACAACAGAAUGAAAAUAAAGAGCUGACGAGAUAGUAGUUUGAAAAAUUCAUUCAAGAACCUGCAAAGUCACCAACAAGAGCUGGAAAUAAACACAUCUGGGAAGACAAAUUCCUUAACUGCUCAGUGCUGAAGGACAUGGUCCCAUUGUUUCUUGGUUAGCUCAGUUUCUUCUGUUGCUGCAUGGAACAAGUUCUAUCCUUUGGUUCCCAGUUUGUCACUACUGCCACUGAGGAUGUGGGAAAAUACUGCACAUCUAAAACUGUGACACUGAAAAGAACAGCUGACCUUCAUAAUAAAUAAUGUAAAACAUUUGUUCACUUGA
Cyanistes caeruleus (blue tit) is the source of this 341-nucleotide non-coding RNA. NCBI's taxonomy places the organism in Eukaryota, Metazoa, Chordata, Aves, Passeriformes, Paridae. The record is from RefSeq and is a predicted model, not a curated record.